Long non-coding RNA from Gorilla gorilla gorilla (western lowland gorilla), 329 nucleotides. RefSeq lists it as uncharacterized. NCBI's taxonomy places the organism in Eukaryota, Metazoa, Chordata, Mammalia, Primates, Hominidae. The transcript has 2 exons. The record is from RefSeq and is a predicted model, not a curated record.
AAUCGGAGCUGGAGUGUGGGGACGCCGCACAGAUGCCAGGGGAUCUACGUACCCUGGAGAAGGGCCCAGAACGAGCGGGUGCUGGGACAGUCAGGAGCAGCCCUAGGAGGCGAGGUCACAGACGGGGAUUUGAACUGAGGCCAGUUGCUCUGCCUGUGGGUAUGAUGCUUCGGACAGCACCUGGCUCUGAAGACAGAGGCCCUGGACCCAAGCCACAUGGGCCCACCUUCUCCCGAAGAUCUGGGCUAACUGGGAAGCAAAAAUAAUUACUCUUGUGCCAAAAUGUCCUUGUAAUUAGCAGUUCUGGGAGAUAAAUGAAUUGAAAUAUG